GGAUUGGGUACACACAGUCUGUGUCACAGAGCCUGGAGGCAGAGGCGUAGGGGUGGGGAGGUGUCAGACAUCCCCACAAGAACCAGAGACAAGCAGGCAUGGGUGCAGGGCAGUAGAAGGAAGGAGGAAACAGAUGUGGGUUUUUAAGGCUGGCAAGAGACACCAAGGAGACCAACCCCCUCCUUUGAGAAGCCAGGAGUCUCAAGAUGGAGGAGGAAGUGACUUAUUCCAGACUACUUGGGCUCCUCCAGGAUCUCUCCUCAGCUCUCUAUCUCUUCACCCUCUUCCCAGAUGAGGUGUCUACGCCCAGAUUCUAAGAAGAUUGGGUCUAGUGUACUCACCACCACAAUCUCAAGUACCUAGUACAGAGUUGGUACACCGUACUCAAAAAACCAAUUAUUUGUUGAACAAUCGGAUGGAUGGAUAGAUGGCACGCCCGCUCUUGACAAAGGUUUGCUAACUUGUCUUCUUUGAAAACCUACAGAAUAGCUUCCUGGGAAUGGGGCUUCCUUGGUGCUGAGUGCACACCGAGACUGGGAUCUUUCUACACAUCCUUGGAACGGGUCCUAUCGCUCUUCUGGAAAGGGGAGCUACAUCUAAGGCAAGGCCAAGUACUGAAGAUGGUGAACUAGAUCAGGAGAUGACUCAAGCCUAACAACAACUCAGCUGAAGCAUGAACUCCAGACUGGAACAGAUUCCAGACUAGGUCUUGAGUCUUCUUCCGUUUUUUUGUUUUGUUUUGUUUUGUUUUGUUUUGUUUUGUUUUGUUUUGUUUUUUAAGUAGGCCAGCAUGGAGCCCAAUGCGAGGCUUGAACUGAUGACCCUGAGAUCAAGAUCUGAGCUGAGAUCUGAGCUGAGAUCAAGAGUCAGACACUUAACCAAGUGAGCCACCCAGGCACCCUACUGAGCUUUCUUCCUUUAAGGUGAACUGGAGAUAUCCUUCCAAGGAAGGGAUUCUCACUCGAAGAGAAUGAAAUGAUGCCGGGCUUUCUGUAUCCCCACCUUCCCCCUACUCUCAAGGCCCAGUCCGGUGCCAGGCCCAGAGGAUGGUCAAUGAGCAUGUAUCCAUUAAACAGCAUUGCAGGCAUACCGGCUUCCCGAAA
Molecule: long non-coding RNA, 1103 nt
Organism: Herpailurus yagouaroundi (jaguarundi)
Lineage: Eukaryota; Metazoa; Chordata; Mammalia; Carnivora; Felidae
Exons: 3
Source: RefSeq, a predicted model, not a curated record